UUAUACAGUACCAGCAGCCUGACUUUAUGCAACAAUGAAUCAACACUUUAUUUAUAUCAUUACACUAUUUAUAUAAUAUAUUAUCAUUUGUUUGGCAGAUGCCCAGGAAAAAAAAGUUUUCAUCAGCAGUCGCCAGAAGGGCUACUCAAAGAGGGGUCCGAGACAACAAGGUGUCAGUUCUUCCUCUCUCUCUGACAUUCUUAUUCAUCAGUUCAAUCAACUGUUCUUGACGAUUGCAGUUCAAGAGAUGCACUGUGAGACAAAGCAUGGAAGUCAUUCUUCAUUGACCUCACCAAUGAACCCACUGAUACCCCAUGCCUGGAAGAAGCGACAGAUUCUGAUGAUGCCCAGGCAAAAAAGAAAGUUUGCAUCGGCACUUAUUGGAACGGCUACUCAAAGAGCCUACUAUUAAGUACAAUAUUCCCAUCUUGAUUAAGUAGAUAUACCUUGUUUGAAAGAACAUUGGCAACCAAAUAUUGCAUAAUUCUAUUUUCAAAUUCAGUUUAGAGUUUAUUUGCAACAGUUGAAAUUCAC
Molecule: long non-coding RNA, 534 nt
Organism: Haliotis rubra (blacklip abalone)
Lineage: Eukaryota; Metazoa; Mollusca; Gastropoda; Lepetellida; Haliotidae
Exons: 3
Source: RefSeq, a predicted model, not a curated record